Molecule: microRNA precursor, 61 nt
Filed under: Mus musculus (house mouse)
Lineage: Eukaryota; Metazoa; Chordata; Mammalia; Rodentia; Muridae
Description: Mmu-Mir-92-P1a_pre stem-loop
Rfam family: mir-92 microRNA precursor family
About the family: This family represents the microRNA precursor mir-92. Human miR-92 has two predicted hairpin precursor sequences: mir-92-1 on chromosome 13 and mir-92-2 on chromosome X. miR-92 has also been cloned from mouse embryonic stem cells.
Source: RNAcentral
AGGUUGGGAUUUGUCGCAAUGCUGUGUUUCUCUGUAUGGUAUUGCACUUGUCCCGGCCUGU